UUGAGCACGCAACAUCCUUCAACAUCACCAAAGUGUUGGGUAGAUGAGAAACGCCAUAUACUACUAACCUAAGCUCAAGAGCCAAGGUGAGCUCUAGAACCAAUGACAUGCAAACGAUUGUAAGUCUCACUCAGAAAGAUGUAAUUUGUCCGUUAAUAAAGAAAAGCAAAUGCACCUUAUCUGAACUGAAAACUUAGAACCUGCAAGAGGAAAAAAAAAUCCCACCUCCAAGGAUGCAAUCAAAACCCAUAUGCCAUACAUCAUAGACUGGCAUGUAAUCUCUGAUCCAAAAAUCAACUUUUUAUACACCUAACCACCUUGGAUGACUGAAAAAAUUGAAGCAUAAUGAAGAAAAAUUGAUGAAGAGGUCCAAGG
Molecule: long non-coding RNA, 375 nt
Filed under: Phoenix dactylifera (date palm)
Lineage: Eukaryota; Viridiplantae; Streptophyta; Magnoliopsida; Arecales; Arecaceae
Description: long non-coding RNA (PDAC_LNC001031)
Source: RNAcentral